UGCACACCAACCUCUCUCUCUACACAAGCUCCAGGUGUAUUUUAUCUGUCCCUCCAACACACCCAUUUAUAACAUGGUUAAACUGUUAGGGGAUUGGAAAAUAGUGUGCCAUUUAGUCUCCCUGUCUUUUGGAGGCUGGAAAAUUCUCAUUUUGGAGGCUGCAAUUCUCAUCAGAGUUGGAGUGGGUUACAGCACCUGACAGCCAUUACCUGGAGAAAGCAUCCAACUACUGCUACCCAAUUUCUUCAGCUGAGAGAGGAGCUGAGAGAGGAGCUGGGGGCAGGCAUGAAGGGGAAGGCUGUGUUCAGGCAGCACACCUGAACCAUGAGCACGGUCUGGAUGUCACCACCAAUGGCACAGAAUCCCCUUGUCCCCGUGCCAUCUCUGCUUCCUCAGCCUACUGCUCACCUCUGCCACUGCCACAGCAAAUACAUCCCACUCAUCAGGGGAAUUAUGGACAUAAUGGAAUAAGGAAAAAACCCCACAGAGGACAGCAGUUGCAGAGUGCUACAAAAUGUGACAUCAACCCCACAGGUCACAAAGCAUUGUCUCCUGUCAUCCCUUUGUCAUUAGUUUUCAUCUAUUCAGCUCUGUAGGGCAUAGACAAUAAAUGAGAAACCCUUUCCCUGAGUACAGGAGGAGCAAGGGACCACAGAUAUUCAUUGGGCAGUACUUGUCCCAGCAAGGAGCUGCCAUCACCACAGUUUCCCAGCCCAGAGGCUCAGAGGCUUUUGCCACAUCCAUGCAGUGAGGAGCUGAAGUAUCAAGUGACCGAGUCCACUAGCAGAACAACCCCAGGAACUCCAGGAUCACCUGGGAAAACACACGGGCUGUGCUGUGGGAUGCACCUCCCAUUCCCCUGCUCCAUGACCUGUGCUCAGCCCCUCUGGCUCAGCCCCUGCUGCAUCAGGCACCGUCUCACCUCUGUCUUGCAGACAGCUCGGUGUUGUCUGACUUGGACAGGCUUUAGCAGCUGCCAGGGUGCUGCAGGGCAUGCAGAGGUAACAGCACAAUUUGCUCAGAGAAGCCUGGUGAGCCAUACUGAGAGCAGUGCCGAGACAUCCGUGCAGUAUCACCACAGCAGG
Long non-coding RNA from Cyanistes caeruleus (blue tit), 1085 nucleotides. RefSeq lists it as uncharacterized. The record is from RefSeq and is a predicted model, not a curated record. Lineage: Eukaryota; Metazoa; Chordata; Aves; Passeriformes; Paridae.